GACGAACGCUGGCGGCGUGCUUAACACAUGCAAGUCGAACGGAAAGGCGCCGUCUGCAGGGUACUCGAGGGGCGAACGGGGGAGUAACACGUGGGAGGUCUGCCCCGUACUCCGGGCUACUGCUUGGCAACUGGGACUAAUACCGGAUAGGGGCCAUUCUGAGUGUGAUGGUUGGAGAGUUUUUUCGGUGUAGGGUGAGGGCGCGGGCUAGGCGCGUGUUGUUGGGGUUAUGGCGUACCAAGGUGGCGACGGGUAGCCGGCCUGAGAGGGUGGACGGCCACAUUGGGACUGCGUUACGGACCAGACACCUACGGGUGGCAGACGUGGGGAGUAUUGCACAAGCGGCGACGGCCUGAUAGGGCGGCGCCGCGUGGGGGAGGACGGCCUUCGGGUUAUAGACGCCGUUCGCUAGGGACGGAGCUUUUUGUGACGGUACCUAGAGAAGAAGCGCCGGCUAACUACGUG
RNAcentral lists this ribosomal RNA (465 nucleotides) under uncultured bacterium. RNAcentral describes it as "partial 16S ribosomal RNA". It matches the Rfam family "Bacterial small subunit ribosomal RNA", at positions 28 to 507 of the family's 1533-position model. The record is from RNAcentral.